GAUGGUUAGCAAGAACAAGGAAGCCAUUUGCAAUGGCAGAAUUGGAAGCAAGGAAAGUUGAAUAUUCAAAUACUGGCACACAAACCUUUGCUAAUGGGGAUUAUAAUUGAGGAAUUCUCUUGGAAGACUUAUUUUUAUUAAGGAUUUUGACUUUGAAGCAUAUGUUCGUGUCAGCUCCUGUCAAGUGAUGACUGAUGACUAUUGUGAUUGUGAGUAAGUAGGCUUCUGGGCCACUGGCUACAUGCUUCUUGAAUGUUUUAUGCUUAAUUGCUAAAAAUAUACUGUUAGAAAAAUAACGUCACAUAAUAUUAGAAAAUACAAAACCUUAUAUCUAGGAGAGAAUUUGUGCCCAAUGAAUUUCUUGUCUUCUUAAAACAAAUGCUCUAGAGGGUGCUUGAGUUUUGAGAGUAAUUUUCUCUCAUGAUAGAACAAGUUAUCUUUCUUGUGAGAGGAACACCUUGUAGUGUUCACUAAAUCUAACGAACCUAGAUUCAUUCAACAAAUGUUCACUGAGCCAUAAAGAGGUACACCUUAAAACAAAUGUUCUCUAAAUCUAACGAACCCAAGUUUGUGGAACAAAGCAAACUUUGAUAAAUUUAUAAUAGGAAGAAAGGUUUAUGGGAGAAAAAUGCUUAUGAAAAAGGUUAAAAACCAAUUUGAAGAAAGAACAUAGUUAUAGAUUCAUGACCAUUUGGAUAGUCUAUUCCUUAAGUUGGUUAAAAUUUGAAAUGGCAUCUAUUCGUAAAAGAACGUGCUACCCAUGGAGUUAAAAGGAUGCAACCCUAUACAAAUGGUCAUGUACAAUUUAUUCCAUUUGUAUACAAUGUACAUGGUGAAGUGGACCAACAAUUUCAACCUUGGUAAAAGAAAAGGAUUUAUGUGAAGCUUAAGACAAACUGAAAGGUAAAAGAUUCUUCUCCUACCCUCUCUCAACCACUAAUAAAGAUCCUAGUUGAAUUUGAAUUUGCGAGCUAGCUCAUGUUGAGCAACAAUAGAACGACUGUGAAGAAAUAAACUAUACAAGAGAAAAUGGUAAGUAUACAAUUCUUUAAGCUUCCCUUCUUUUCUAUGUUUAUGUUCAAAUCUUGUCUUCAUCUUCUUUAGUUUUUUGUUUGUUGAUUCAAAUAUUUGGGAAAUGCGAUUUUGGUUUUGAAACUGAUGGAGAUGAAAUUAAGGAACCAAAUGAUGAGCGUUUUCCAAAGAAGACGCAACCAUGAUGUGAACCGAACAGCUUUUAGCUACUGGGGAUUUAUUUUGGUUGAGGAUGGUUCUUUCUUUUAUUAUUAUUAUUAUUAUUUUUGUGGGUUUUGAACUCUCCCCCCUCUGAAUAGAUACACCUACUUGACUUGGCCAAAAUUGGUAAUUCUGAUGGUUCCUUAGUUCAUCAUUCCUCUAUGAAAUUUUAGUUUUGGUUUUUGAGUUUAGAAGUUUUCGUUCUCUUAGGACUUCCAAAUCUAUCUUCAUACUUGAUUUUGAUUGACAUGGUUUGGAUGAAGUAAAAUAAUUUUCAAUAGUUUCUGGAUGGUGGGGUGGUUAACAAAGUUUGUUUCAUGUUUUCUCAAUGUGCAAUUGUGUUAAUUCUGAACUUUGAAUUUGUAGUCAUAACUCAAACCAUAUACAUAUUAAGUGAUGGAUAGUAUAGUUAACAUGGACGUGGACGAGACUUUUGUUCGAGAUUUGGAGUACAGAAACACGAACGUGUUUUGGCUAUAAGAGUGACAGAAAAGUUGAGGUACAAGCAUUGGACAUCAAAUUAUUGAAAUAGAAAAUUGUUUUGAGGAUAGAAUUCAAACAAUGAUGUGAGAAGUGUGUAAACGAAUUAUUACCGGAUUUAUUAAGGGCCAUGGGCAUGUGUCGCUCGUAUUAUAAGUUUUUGUAUUUUAAUAUUAAUCUUGGAGUGUUUGAUUAUAAUACAUAUUAAAUUUAACUUCA
Cucumis sativus (cucumber) is the source of this 1932-nucleotide long non-coding RNA. RefSeq lists it as uncharacterized. Lineage: Eukaryota; Viridiplantae; Streptophyta; Magnoliopsida; Cucurbitales; Cucurbitaceae. The transcript is spliced from 3 exons. The record is from RefSeq and is a predicted model, not a curated record.